UUUAUUUUGUAUGUUCUUCUGUGAACCGCCCUGAGAUCUAAUGAUGAAGGGCGGUAUAUUAAUGUAACAAAUAAUAAUAAUAAUAAUGCUAGGGUUUUUUAAGUCAACAAACAAAAGGAUAGUUAAACUCCAGGAAAGGUUAACCAAUUUGCCCAAGUGGCCCUUGAAAUUCCAAGUUGGGGAUCCAUUUUCUGCUCAAAGGCCACAUUCCCUCCCUUCUGGGGACAUGCCAGUUGUGGGUAGGGCUGGAAGAAAAGGGGACAGAGUGAAGUUCUGUUUGCCUUGGUACAGUAGGUCACAUUCCUGUGGGAUGUUUAAAGGCAGUCAAACCAACAAUUCAUGUUUUGCCAGAUAGGUGCAUUAAGGGGCUGAGGCUCACAGAGUUUUCCUGUAAGCUUCCUAGAGAGAACCCGAUGAGAACACUCCCCUCGUUGCCCUGACAGGAAGUGAUUGUCACUAUAUAUGCUUCUUCCUGCCUGAGCACAUCCUUUUUCUGCUCUUAUGCACCAUGCUAGCAGUGUGGAAGCAUCUAUGUGUCUGAGCUCCAGGCCCAAACUCCAUUUUAAAGCUGGACUUAAGUAAGUCUUUGUAACCAAAUUAAUGUUUUAAGCCUGUCUGAACACAGCUGCUGUUUCUGUUACUCUUCAAGAAGCAUUGUGAACCCAGAACAGAACUGAACUGAAGGGUUCAGCCAGCCUGCUUAUAUAGAGCUCCACUACAACGCAACAGGAACAACUUUCUGUAGCUAUCCAAUCACUGAACGUCACUUUCAAUCCGUUAUUUGCAUAUGUGGACCUGAGUGAAAACUAUCUACAGUAUCCCCCUGCUGGCCCAGGGUGAGAACUUCAGUACAUAACAGUCUUGAUGCAAUAAACUGGUGGGCUUAUACUGCUUUAUUCAUUGUCCUGUGAUGCUGCCCCACUUCUGCCACAUUACUGCUAUCUGGGCAAAACUAAACCAGAACAUGCACAGUACAAAAAGUUACAGGAUUUCAGCAGGAAGUUAUGCGACCACCCCAGAACUUUUGCAAGGGCAAACAGUGUUGAAAAGGGGGUCUUGUUUGACUGCCUCAAGAGCACCGUGAGCAGAAAUCAACAUGAAUGGGCCGUAAAGAGGAUGUCUGGAGGGGCCCUGGAUCUUCUGUCAGCUUGUGGAAUGGGGAAAGGCAAGUUGGCCAUCUCACCUGCAUCCCAUUUGCAGUGUCGGAUCCAUAAACCGGGGUUUCAAAGGAGAAAAGUCAAAAUAACCUUUCUUCUACAAGCACUCCACAGUGCCCAAUUAUAAUGAGCCCAGAGGCCAAACUCCUAAAGAAAAUAUAUGUAAAUCUGAAGCGCUGAGGCCGUCUGCUGUGUUAUGCCCCCAUGCCAAUAAAUUGGUUUAUUUGUG
Podarcis raffonei (Aeolian wall lizard) is the source of this 1386-nucleotide long non-coding RNA. RefSeq lists it as uncharacterized. Lineage: Eukaryota; Metazoa; Chordata; Lepidosauria; Squamata; Lacertidae. The record is from RefSeq and is a predicted model, not a curated record. The transcript is spliced from 2 exons.